Molecule: ribosomal RNA, 253 nt
Filed under: uncultured bacterium
Lineage: Bacteria
Description: partial 16S ribosomal RNA
Rfam family: Bacterial small subunit ribosomal RNA
Source: RNAcentral
GACGGGGGAUGCAAGUGUUAUCCGGAAUCAUUGGGCGUAAAGCGCGCGUAGGCGGCCCUGUAAGUCCGUUGUGAAAGUCAAAGGCUCAACCUUUGAAAGCCGAUGGAUACUGCAGGGCUAGAGUCCGGAAGAGGCGAGUGGAAUUCCUGGUGUAGCGGUGGAAUGCGCAGAUAUCAGGAGGAACACCAAUAGCGAAGGCAGCUCGCUGGGACGGUACUGACGCUAAGGCGCGAAAGCGUGGGGAGCGAACAGG